This 465-nucleotide ribosomal RNA is filed under the name uncultured bacterium. Its description in RNAcentral is "partial 16S ribosomal RNA". It matches the Rfam family "Bacterial small subunit ribosomal RNA", at positions 28 to 507 of the family's 1533-position model. The record is from RNAcentral.
GACGAACGCAGGCGGCGUGCUUAACACAUGCAAGUCGAACGGAAAGGCCCCUUUGGGGGUACUCGAGUGGCGAACGGGUGAGUAACACGUGAGUAACCUGCCCUUGACUUCGGGAUAACUUCAGGAAACUGGGGCUAAUACCGGAUAGGAAUCCUUGCUGCAUGGUGGGGGUUGGAAAGCUUCGGCGGUUUUGGAUGGACUCGCGGCUUAUCAGCUUGUUGGUGGGGUAGUGGCUUACCAAGGCUUUGACGGGUAGCCGGCCUGAGAGGGCGACCGGCCACAUUGGGACUGAGAUACGGCCCAGACUCCUACGGGAGGCAGCAGUGGGGAAUAUUGCACAAUGGGCGGAAGCCUGAUGCAGCAACGCCGCGUGCGGGAUGACGGCCUUCGGGUUGUAAACCGCUUUCAGCAGGGGCGAAGCUUGUGGUGACGGUACCUGCAGAAGAAGCACCGGCUAACUACGUG